This is a long non-coding RNA of Oncorhynchus kisutch (coho salmon), 575 nucleotides long. RefSeq lists it as uncharacterized. Lineage: Eukaryota; Metazoa; Chordata; Actinopteri; Salmoniformes; Salmonidae. The record is from RefSeq and is a predicted model, not a curated record. The transcript is spliced from 3 exons.
CUCAAGUCGGUGCCGAUGCUGUCCUCCUUAUGGCAGAGAUGCUACAUGUGUUUGUUCAAGAAGCUGCACAAAGAACGAUAAAACAGGCUGAGGCAGAGGACUGUGACCGAAUGGACAUAGAACACUUUGAGAAGAUCCUGCCUCAACUGCUGUUGGAUUUCUAGUAUGACUUCAGGCCAGAAGAUGGCGCCAGAGAGCUAUCCAGUCCUCAAUUCAGAAUUCGAGAGAUUGACCAACUCUUGGAGGACAAUGGAAGUAAAGAAAAAGGCUUCUGUUUUGUUUGUAAACGUAAAGAAGCACUUUAUUUACUUCUAUUGUCCUCCAAGAGUGUCUGAAUCUACUUCUUCUUAAUUCAUGCACCUUGGUUGGAGAGAGGGAGGGAUCCCUUCCACCGGUCCUACAUUCAGCCCAUUUAGGAUAUUCUAUUGUAAUUAGUCCUUUAUUUCAGUUACAUUGCACACGGUCUCUCGAACUCUGUACAUUUUGCUCUGUGGUUUUGCCUUCGUUUGUUGUUUGAAAUGAUUUGAAACCAUUGCUAACUAAUAAAAGUUGUUGCGUGCUUUUUUUAUUUAUUA